This 68-nucleotide transfer RNA is filed under the name Figites sp. ZJUH 20220010. Its description in RNAcentral is "tRNA-Arg". Lineage: Eukaryota; Metazoa; Arthropoda; Insecta; Hymenoptera; Figitidae. The record is from RNAcentral.
UUGAAUAAAUCUAAAAUUUAGAGUUUAAUUUCGACUUAAAUUUAUGAUUAAUUUAUAAUCUAUUCAUU